RNAcentral lists this long non-coding RNA (770 nucleotides) under Thrips palmi. Its description in RNAcentral is "uncharacterized LOC117643262, transcript variant X3". The record is from RNAcentral. Lineage: Eukaryota; Metazoa; Arthropoda; Insecta; Thysanoptera; Thripidae.
UCUGUCAAUCUAAUUUAAAUUAUUUUUCAACGUUUGUCUAUAGGGUGGGUGGUUGCUUCUUGCUCAUCUCUUUUCAUCGCACUCCACGCAUCGAGCCACCAGUGGAUGUAUAAGUCAGCUGACGUGUCAUCUCCAGCCACCAGCAACUUAUCAGGAAGAACUUUAUUCGGGUGUCUUUGCUGUGAGAGUGUCUCGUGCCCUAUUGAACAAGAUGUUUCAACUAAGUUGCGUGCCAAUUAAAGGUGAACCCGAGUGGAGGCGUUGCUGUUCUCCGCUGCUCUCUGCAGUGUAUUGGUGUCCAGUUUUGCGCAUGUAGUGCUGUGUUGUAAUUGAAGCAAGUGAGGUGUAUUCUGUGAUGUUUCACCGGACUUUUGAACAAGUAUUUCUGUGGUGUAAUUAUAGAUGAAGAUGGAUGGAACACAUUUCACAGGCUGAUGCACUUCCCCACUUUAACAAACCUUUUCAGCAAUAUAUCACCAUAGGGUACCAAUACCAAAGGUUUUCCAAGUCAUCUCCCUGCAAGCAACAAACAUCUUUUUGCUGUGGUCUGCUUUUCAAGACUGGCCUCCUCUCCCUGUGAUUUUCUGUAGCAUGUGAUGUGUUUGUUGCUGCUACUAUUGACAACGAUCCCAAUUCUUUUCAGUAUGGAGCUUCUCUUCACUCUCGAAUGCUGAAAAUGAAUCACUGCUGUACAGCAAGAAGAACAACGCUAUCAGUGGAAAUUCAUUAUUGCAGCAUAUGUCUUCUCUUGGCCAUCAGCAAGUCAUUUG